Arthrobacter woluwensis is the source of this 72-nucleotide regulatory RNA element. It matches the Rfam family "Actino-pnp RNA". NCBI's taxonomy places the organism in Bacteria, Bacillati, Actinomycetota, Actinomycetes, Micrococcales, Micrococcaceae. The record is from Rfam.
CGCGGUCCUCGGUAGUGACUCGCGGGACGGGCCCCGAAGCCCUGGGCCCGAGAGUCUCGAUCGAAGACCGGG